This 329-nucleotide unclassified non-coding RNA is filed under the name soil metagenome. RNAcentral's name for it is "partial contains 5.8S ribosomal RNA, internal transcribed spacer 2, and large subunit ribosomal RNA". The stretch from base 1 to 120 matches the Rfam family "5.8S ribosomal RNA", at positions 35 to 154 of the family's 154-position model. The record is from RNAcentral.
GAUGAAGAACGCAGCGAAAUGCGAUAAGUAGUGUGAAUUGCAGAAUUCAGUGAAUCAUCGAAUCUUUGAACGCACAUUGCGCCCCUUGGUAUCCCGAGGGGCAUGCCUGUUCGAGCGUCAUUUCACCACUCAAGCCUGGCUUGGUGUUGGGCGACGUCCCCUUUGGGGACGCGCCUCGAAACGCUCGGCGGCGUGGCACCGGCUUUAAGCGUAGCAGAAUCUUUCGCUUUGGAAGUCGGGGGCCCGUCUGCCGGAAGACCUACUCGCAAGGUUGACCUCGGAUCAGGUAGGAAUACCCGCUGAACUUAAGCAUAUCAAUAAGCGGAGGA